AUUAACCCAAUCCAUGUUGGUAAAAUGCCUAUUUACUCAGUAUAACUACAAUCAGCAUUAUUCAACUUUAUAUGUGAUUUACCUAAACAUGCUAGGGAGUUUCCCCUUGACAUUGACUAACACCCUCAUUAACAAGAUGGCGCUGGAAUCUGGGGGAGACUUCCAAGAUACCAGUGACAUCACACCCGGUAGGAAGAGCAAUAAAAUGGACCACUUAACACCUAACCAAUAAUUGAUGUAUUAUUCCAUGUUAUCU
RNAcentral lists this long non-coding RNA (256 nucleotides) under Pelobates cultripes (western spadefoot toad). Lineage: Eukaryota; Metazoa; Chordata; Amphibia; Anura; Pelobatidae. The record is from RNAcentral.